AUGCUGCCGCCGCCUCCACCCUCGUUACCUGUGGGCUUCAAGCCGGUUGUCGUCCCGCCGCCAUCCCUAUCGUCUUCCCGGUCAGAUUUGGAUCAGGACCUCCUGCUUCCGCCGCCGCCGUCGACGACGCUGGACCUGCCCACCCAGCUUCGUCCCAUGCCCAUGGCGGUGCUGGUGAUGCCUCCGUGCGAGCUCGUAGCGCCCGCGUCACCGAAGCCCACCGCUACCGGCAACUGCCCAGCUCGGGCGCCGGCCACCGCGACACCGACGCCACCCAUGCCCGCGGCUGGUGGCUGCCCCGCUCCGUCGACGACGGCUGCUGCUGUCGACAUCCUUGUCCCCAUGGCGGCCCCGUCCCUCCUCCUGCCGGCCGCGCCCGGGAGCUCGCGUCCAUCACCACCGAGCUCGCUCCCCUCCGAGCUAGCGCCCGUGGUCCCUCCCGCUCCAUCGUUCGCUGCCGCCGCACUAGCCAUAGCUGCACUUGCUUGCCGCAGAUCGGACCCGGCCAUCGGAGGGCAGAAGCCUCGUUCCCAGGAGGGCCUGGAUACCUUUGCUUCGCCGCCUGCUGGACGCCCUUGCCUGCCCGACGGCCAACCUCUUGCACUCGCUGCUCCUGGUUGUGGGGAUUGGCGUGGAUGCUUCCAUCGUGAUGAGGCGACUGAUGUUCUCGAGUGUGAGCAAGGGGGAUGGCAGACUGUCUCGAAGGGGCGCCGCUCGCCGCCUCCUGCAGCUUUUCGUCGCCCUUCCAUCAAUGUGAGGCAUUCCCCUCCGGCGUGGCUGAGAGACAGGUGUUUCCGGUGUCUCUGUCGAGGUCAUCGUGCACACUCCUGCAGGGAUCCAAUCCGAUGCACUGACUGCCUUUGA
Molecule: ribosomal RNA, 864 nt
Filed under: Triticum aestivum (bread wheat)
Lineage: Eukaryota; Viridiplantae; Streptophyta; Magnoliopsida; Poales; Poaceae
Description: partial small subunit ribosomal RNA
Source: RNAcentral